This 88-nucleotide transfer RNA is filed under the name Nitrososphaerota archaeon. RNAcentral describes it as "Thaumarchaeota archaeon tRNA-Leu". It matches the Rfam family "tRNA". From Rfam's summary of the family: Transfer RNA (tRNA) molecules are approximately 80 nucleotides in length. Their secondary structure includes four short double-helical elements and three loops (D, anti-codon, and T loops). Further hydrogen bonds mediate the characteristic L-shaped molecular structure. tRNAs have two regions of fundamental functional importance: the anti-codon, which is responsible for specific mRNA codon recognition, and the 3' end, to which the tRNAs corresponding amino acid is attached (by aminoacyl-tRNA synthetases). tRNAs cope with the degeneracy of the genetic code in two manners: having more than one tRNA (with a specific anti-codon) for a particular amino acid; and 'wobble' base-pairing, i.e. permitting non-standard base-pairing at the 3rd anti-codon position. Lineage: Archaea; Thermoproteati; Nitrososphaerota. The record is from RNAcentral.
GCGGGGGUAGCUAAGCCUGGCCAACAGCUCGGGACUUAAGAUCCCGUCCCCUAGGGGUUCGUGGGUUCGAAUCCCACCCCCCGCACCA